GGGGCGUGGCCAGGGGCGGACCAAUCAGUUGGAGGAUCAGUGGUCAUCGACCCUGCCCCCAUGUGUUAACCUUCUAAUUGCCGGAGGGACGUUUUCUCUGUCUUUGCGUUGAACGCGACCAUCACUACUCCGGCAGCCAAUAGGUUAAUGAGGAGGCGGGGUCGUACGUGACGUCACUCACCAUGGUGCUAUAUAAAGUGAGCAGUUCAAGAAAGCCAGAACUUAUUGUCCUGGAAGACAGUAUACCAGACAGUAUCCAGGUAUUUAAUCUAGGCGUCCCUUCAUGGAAAAUACAAGUGAAAAACUGAAAUAACUAUGGGAUAACACAGCCUCCAACAAUCCCAGUUCUGAUUAAUCAUCGGAUGCCAGGGGGGACUGCAGUGUAUCACAGAGUUCUCACCACCCCAGAUAUAAGUGUGCCUUAUGUUUUAACCAAUCCAGGACAUUUUGUGCUUUUUUUAAAUUGCUAAAAUUGAAACUAGAAAAUAUCUUCAACUUGUACAAUAGAUGGAAUGGAAAACUGGAUAAUAGGGAAGUAUUGGAGGUUCAUCUAGGCUUCAUGUGCAAAUCGAGCCAUUUACCAAGUAAAGGAAGUAUUUGCAGAGCUUGUUUCAAUGUGCCGCAUUUAAGAGCAUUUAUCUAAUUAUAAAUAUGAGUAUAUCUUUGUGACCAUGAGACACUGUUGGAUACUACGUUACGUUUGAGAGGGACAGAGUUUUGCAGUUCUGAAGCUACAGCAGUUACACAAGAGCUGUAACAUUCUUGGAACAGACAGGACAAGAUGGAGCUUCUGGCUGAUCAAUGCAUGCCAAGCACAUGUAGUGCUGAAUUAGAAAUUCUAUAUUAACAUAUCAAUGCACUGCAGCCUCCUGAAACACAGAGCGGAUUAUCAGAGCAGGGUGUACUAGACCCCGCAGCACCAAGGGGGGCCUGAGAACAAUACGUUACCAAAAGCUGCUUCAGCACUCAAUAGGGUCUAUCAGUAGUGCUAUAGCAGUGUAUUGCACAGCCUUCCCUCCACUUACUCAGUGCCAUAUAGAGCUUUGGACAUGAGCAAGGUUCAAGGCACCAGAAUUGUUUUGGUUUGUUUGUUACUUGCCCAUGCAUUUCCUAGAACAUGUCCCUAUAUCUAUAUAUCCUAAAAAGAAGAGAAGGAGGAGAGCACUCAGUGUAACACAUAAACCCAUUUAACCCUUAUAUAGUGAUUCCAAAUAAAUGCAUACUUGGUGUCAAUAAGA
Pseudophryne corroboree (corroboree frog) is the source of this 1238-nucleotide long non-coding RNA. RefSeq lists it as uncharacterized. Lineage: Eukaryota; Metazoa; Chordata; Amphibia; Anura; Myobatrachidae. The record is from RefSeq and is a predicted model, not a curated record. The transcript has 3 exons.